RNAcentral lists this ribosomal RNA (440 nucleotides) under uncultured bacterium. RNAcentral describes it as "partial 16S ribosomal RNA". It matches the Rfam family "Bacterial small subunit ribosomal RNA", at positions 338 to 795 of the family's 1533-position model. The record is from RNAcentral.
CCUACGGGUGGCAGCAGUGGGGAAUAUUGCACAAUGGGGGAAACCCUGAUGCAGCAACGCCGCGUGAAGGAAGACGGUUUUCGGAUUGUAAACUUCUGUUCUUAGUGAAGAAUAAUGACGGUAGCUAAGGAGCAAGCCACGGCUAACUACGUGCCAGCAGCCGCGGUAAUACGUAGGUGGCAAGCGUUGUCCGGAAUUACUGGGUGUAAAGGGAGCGUAGGCGGGAAAGCAAGUUUAAUGUUUAAGGUACGGGCUCAACCUGUACAAGCGUUCAAAACUGUUUUUCUUGAGUGGAGUAGAGGUAAGCGGAAUUCCUAGUGUAGCCGUGAAAUGCGUAAAUAUUAGGAGGAACACCAGUGGCGAAGGCGGCUUACUGGGCUUUAACUGACGCUGAGGCUCGAAAGCGUGGGUAGCAAACAGGAUUAGAUACCCUAGUAGUC